Molecule: ribosomal RNA, 402 nt
Filed under: uncultured Dongia sp.
Lineage: Bacteria; Pseudomonadati; Pseudomonadota; Alphaproteobacteria; Rhodospirillales; Dongiaceae
Description: bacterial SSU rRNA
Rfam family: Bacterial small subunit ribosomal RNA
Source: RNAcentral
UGGGGAAUAUUGGACAAUGGGGGCAACCCUGAUCCAGCAAUGCCGCGUGAGUGAUGAAGGCCUUAGGGUUGUAAAGCUCUUUUACCGGGGACGAUGAUGACGGUACCCGGAGAAUAAGCCCCGGCUAACUUCGUGCCAGCAGCCGCGGUAAUACGAAGGGGGCGAGCGUUGUUCGGAAUUACUGGGCGUAAAGGGCGCGUAGGCGGCGAACCAAGUCAGAUGUGAAAGUCCUGGGCUUAACCUGGGGACUGCAUUUGAUACUGGUUUGCUUGAAUUCGGGAGAGGAUAGCGGAAUUCCCAGUGUAGAGGUGAAAUUCGUAGAUAUUGGGAAGAACACCGGUGGCGAAGGCGGCUAUCUGGACCGACAUUGACGCUGAGGCGCGAAAGCGUGGGGAGCAAACA